This 337-nucleotide unclassified non-coding RNA is filed under the name soil metagenome. RNAcentral's name for it is "partial contains 5.8S ribosomal RNA, internal transcribed spacer 2, and large subunit ribosomal RNA". The stretch from base 1 to 120 matches the Rfam family "5.8S ribosomal RNA", at positions 35 to 154 of the family's 154-position model. The record is from RNAcentral.
GAUGAAGAACGCAGCGAAAUGCGAUAAGUAGUGUGAAUUGCAGAAUUCAGUGAAUCAUCGAAUCUUUGAACGCACAUUGCGCCCCUUGGUAUUCCAUGGGGCAUGCCUGUUCGAGCGUCAUUUGUACCCUCAAGCUUUGCUUGGUGUUGGGCGUCUUGUCUCGCGUUGCGCGUAGACUCGCCUUAAAGCGAUUGGCAGCCGGCGUAUUGAUUUCGGAGCGCAGUACAUCUCGCGCUUUGCACUCAUAACGACGACGUCCAAAAGUACAUUUUUACACUCUUGACCUCGGAUCAGGUAGGGAUACCCGCUGAACUUAAGCAUAUCAAUAAGCGGAGGA